UCCCGGGUGGCUCAAUAGUAAAGAGUCUGCCUGCCAAGCAGGAGACACAGGUUCAAUCCCUGGUUUGGGAA
Molecule: transfer RNA, 71 nt
Filed under: Ovis aries (sheep)
Lineage: Eukaryota; Metazoa; Chordata; Mammalia; Artiodactyla; Bovidae
Rfam family: tRNA
About the family: Transfer RNA (tRNA) molecules are approximately 80 nucleotides in length. Their secondary structure includes four short double-helical elements and three loops (D, anti-codon, and T loops).
Source: Rfam by way of RNAcentral